RNAcentral lists this ribosomal RNA (380 nucleotides) under Heterosigma akashiwo. RNAcentral describes it as "partial Bacterial large subunit ribosomal RNA". It matches the Rfam family "Bacterial large subunit ribosomal RNA", at positions 774 to 1152 of the family's 2925-position model. The record is from RNAcentral. Lineage: Eukaryota; Raphidophyceae; Chattonellales; Chattonellaceae.
CCGAACCCACCUAUGUUGAAAAAUGGGGGGAUGAGCUGUGGAUCGGAGUGAAAGGCUAAUCAAGCUCGGAGAUAGCUGGUUCUCCUCGAAAUCUAUUUAGGUAGAGCGUCGGACGAAUACCCUCGGGGGUAGAGCACUGAAUGGGUAAUGGGGGCCCACAGCCUUACUGAUCCUAAUCAAACUCCGAAUACCGAGGAGUAAUAUCCGGCAGACACACAGCGGAUGCUAACGUCCGUUGUGGAGAGGGAAACAACCCUGACCUACGACUAAGGCCCCUAAUUCAUGGCUAAGUGGGAAAGCAGGUGGGACGACCAAAACAACCAGGAGGUUGGCUUAGAAGCAGCCAUCCUUUAAAGAUAGCGUAACAGCUCACUGGUCUA